UAGUCCACGCCGUAAACGAUGAGCACUAGGUUUUGGGGGUAUUGAUCCCUUCAGAACCACAGCUAACGCAUUAAGUGCUCCGCCUGGGGAGUACGGUCGCAAGAUUAAAACUCAAAGGAAUAGACGGGGACCCGCACAAGUGGUGGAGCAUGUGGUUUAAUUCGAAGAUACGCGAAGAACCUUACCUGGCCUUGACAUUGAAAGAAUCUGCUAGAGAUAGCGGAGUGCCUUCGGGAGCUUGAAAACAGGUGCUGCACGGCUGUCGUCAGCCCGUGUCGUGAGAUGUUGGGUUAAGUCCCGCAACGAGCGCAACCCUCGUCACUAGUUACUAACGGUUCGGCCGAGGACUCUAGUGAGACUGCCUUCGCAAGGAGGAGGAAGGUGAGGACGACGUCAAGUCAUCAUGGCCCUUACGGCCAGGGCAACACACGUGCUACAAUGGUUGGGACAAUGAGACGCGAUACCGCGAGGUGGAGCAAAUCUAUAAACCCAAUCUCAGUUCGGAUUGU
RNAcentral lists this ribosomal RNA (509 nucleotides) under uncultured bacterium. Its description in RNAcentral is "bacterial SSU rRNA". It matches the Rfam family "Bacterial small subunit ribosomal RNA", at positions 791 to 1301 of the family's 1533-position model. The record is from RNAcentral.